AGAGUUUCUGUUUCAAUUCUCCAGUUUCUCCCAGUUAAUCCUGCAAGUUGCAACACCCCACUCCAUUAGCGCCUUUCGAUUCCUCUUUAGAUGCAAGAGCCUGCUUUCCUGCUGGGGGAAAAAACCCUGGAAAAAAUUGAACUUAGUGGCAUACUAUUAUUGAAGAAGACAUAUUCCUCUGAAAAUGGAACUGGAUUCAGAAACCAAUGCCUUGGUCAUUCAGGUUCACAACAUGGCCUAUGAAGAUGUCAAAGUGACUGUCAGUGCCAGGCCAUUCUUCACGUUGCUGGACGGCAAUAUGAUUUUCUUCUGGUACAAAUGGCUGUCAUCCUUAUUUAGCACAACAGUUUGUCCUGGAGAAAAAAAGCAAGUCAAUAAAGUUACCGACUGGAAUGUUAUCACCUACAAACUGGGAAAUUAUGGAUGGAAGCUUUACAACAUCACUGUAGUGAGAAAGUCAGAUGGAUAUGUUGCAACAUGUUCAACUCCUUUACAUUGCACUUGGAUAGUUGAGGAGAAGGGAGUCUAUCAAGAAGAGACCACUACAAACCGCUGCAAAUUUGAGCCACCUACUUAUAAUCCAUUAUCCUAAUAAGAGAGAAAUAGUUGUAUUUCCACUGUGUCAGAUGAAUUAUUUUGUAUAAUAUAAAAGCUCACAUUUGUUUGAUUUCAGUAUAAAUUAAUACACUGAAAGCUAGCAUAUUAGGUUGUUUGGAUGUUGCAUUCCAGAAACAAAACAAUAGCUACUUCUGCCAAACUUUUUAGCCAAAGCCUGAAUCUUUCCAGAUUUUGCACAAAUACCAAAGAUGCACUGGGUUUUUCUAUCCUUCCUUAUUGCUCUCAGAUACCUACUUUAGGAUAACAUAUGAUGUAGCUGGAUUUUUUGCAGCAGUGGUUAAAACCCAGCAGACAAUUAUUACAGUGGGAUACUAAUAUCAAGCUUGUCUAGAUGCAUGGAGGCCAUGCAACUUGAAGGGAUGGUUUUAAAUAUGUUUUAACUUGCCUUUUUUCUAUACUGUACCUUUUAUACUGUACCUUUUUGCCUGUGUUGGUCUAUGACUGUAAUAAA
Molecule: long non-coding RNA, 1069 nt
Organism: Sceloporus undulatus (fence lizard)
Lineage: Eukaryota; Metazoa; Chordata; Lepidosauria; Squamata; Phrynosomatidae
Exons: 3
Source: RefSeq, a predicted model, not a curated record